AGAGUUUGAUCCUGGCUCAGGACGAACGCUGGCGGCGCGCCUAACACAUGCAAGUCGAACGAGAGAUGAGGAGCUUGCUCUUCAAAUCGAGUGGCGAACGGGUGAGUAACGCGUGAGGAACCUGCCUCAAAGAGGGGGACAACAGUUGGAAACGACUGCUAAUACCGCAUAAGCCCACGGCUCGGCAUCGAGCAGAGGGAAAAGGAGCAAUCCGCUUUGAGAUGGCCUCGCGUCCGAUUAGCUAGUUGGUGAGGUAACGGCCCACCAAGGCGACGAUCGGUAGCCGGACUGAGAGGUUGAACGGCCACAUUGGGACUGAGACACGGCCCAGACUCCUACGGGAGGCAGCAGUGGGGAAUAUUGCACAAUGGGGGAAACCCUGAUGCAGCGACGCCGCGUGGAGGAAGAAGGUCUUCGGAUUGUAAACUCCUGUUGUUGAGGAAGAUAAUGACGGUACUCAACAAGGAAGUGACGGCUAACUACGUGCCAGCAGCCGCGGUAAAACGUAGGUCACAAGCGUUGUCCGGAAUUACUGGGUGUAAAGGGAGCGCAGGCGGGAGAACAAGUUGGAAGUGAAAUCCAUGGGCUCAACCCAUGAACUGCUUUCAAAACUGUUUUUCUUGAGUAGUGCAGAGGUAGGCGGAAUUCCCGGUGUAGCGGUGGAAUGCGUAGAUAUCGGGAGGAACACCAGUGGCGAAGGCGGCCUACUGGGCACCAACUGACGCUGAGGCUCGAAAGUGUGGGUAGCAAACAGGAUUAGAUACCCUGGUAGUCCACACCGUAAACGAUGAUUACUAGGUGUUGGAGGAUUGACCCCUUCAGUGCCGCAGUUAACACAAUAAGUAAUCCACCUGGGGAGUACGACCGCAAGGUUGAAACUCAAAGGAAUUGACGGGGGCCCGCACAAGCAGUGGAGUAUGUGGUUUAAUUCGACGCAACGCGAAGAACCUUACCAAGUCUUGACAUCCCUUGACGAUGCUGGAAACAGUAUUUCUCUUCGGAGCAAGGAGACAGGUGGUGCAUGGUUGUCGUCAGCUCGUGUCGUGAGAUGUUGGGUUAAGUCCCGCAACGAGCGCAACCCUUAUGGUCAGUUACUACGCAAGAGGACUCUGGCCAGACUGCCGUUGACAAAACGGAGGAAGGUGGGGAUGACGUCAAAUCAUCAUGCCCUUUAUGACUUGGGCUACACACGUACUACAAUGGCGUUAAACAAAGAGAAGCAAGACCGCGAGGUGGAGC
RNAcentral lists this ribosomal RNA (1239 nucleotides) under metagenome. Its description in RNAcentral is "bacterial SSU rRNA". It matches the Rfam family "Bacterial small subunit ribosomal RNA", at positions 8 to 1268 of the family's 1533-position model. The record is from RNAcentral.